UAAUCUACCCUAGGGUGGGGGAAUAACUCCUCGAAAGGGGAGCUAAUGCCGACAUGUGCGCUACUCUCGCAAGGGAGUAAUGGAAAGCCGUACCGUGGGUGCGGCGCCCAAGGAUGAGCUCACGUCCUAUCAGCUUGUUGGCGGGGUAACGGCCCACCAAGGCUGCGACGGGUAGCUGGUCUGAGAGGACGACCAGCCACACUGGCACUGCGACACGGGCCAG
Molecule: ribosomal RNA, 223 nt
Filed under: uncultured bacterium
Lineage: Bacteria
Description: partial 16S ribosomal RNA
Rfam family: Bacterial small subunit ribosomal RNA
Source: RNAcentral